UACAGAGGGGGCAAGCGUUGUUCGGAAUUACUGGGCGUAAAGGGCGCGUAGGCGGCCUGUUAAGUCGAACGUGAAAUCCCCGGGCUCAACCCGGGAACUGCGUCCGAUACUGGCAGGCUUGAAUUCGGGAGAGGGAUGUGGAAUUCCAGGUGUAGCGGUGAAAUGCGUAGAUAUUGGGAGGAACACCAGUGGCGAAGGCGGCUACCUGGACCGGUUCUGACGCUGAGGCGCGAAAGCGUGGGUAGCAAACAGG
RNAcentral lists this ribosomal RNA (253 nucleotides) under uncultured bacterium. Its description in RNAcentral is "partial 16S ribosomal RNA". It matches the Rfam family "Bacterial small subunit ribosomal RNA", at positions 524 to 776 of the family's 1533-position model. The record is from RNAcentral.